This 512-nucleotide ribosomal RNA is filed under the name uncultured bacterium. Its description in RNAcentral is "partial 16S ribosomal RNA". It matches the Rfam family "Bacterial small subunit ribosomal RNA", at positions 28 to 507 of the family's 1533-position model. The record is from RNAcentral.
GAUGAACGCUGGCGGCAUGCCUAAUACAUGCAAGUCGAACGAAACUUCUUUAUCACCGAGUGCUUGCACUCACCGAUAAAGAGUUGAGUGGCGAACGGGUGAGUAACACGUGGGCAACCUGCCCAAAAGAGGGGGAUAACACUUGGAAACAGGUGCUAAUACCGCAUAACCAUAGUUACCGCAUGGUAACUAUGUAAAAGGUGGCUAUACUACCGCUUUUGGAUGGGCCCGCGGCGCAUUAGCUAGUUGGUAGGGUAAAGGCUUACCAAGGCAAUGAUGCGUAGCCGAAUUGAGAGGUUGAUCGGCCACAUUGGGACUGAGACACGGCCCAAACUCCUACGGGAGGCAGCAGUAGGGAAUCUUCCACAAUGGGCGAAAGCCUGAUGGAGCAACGCCGCGUGGGUGAAGAAGGUCUUCGGAUCGUAAAACCCUGUUGUUAGAGAAGAAAGUGCGUGAGAGUAACUGUUCACGUUUCGACGGUAUCUAACCAGAAAGCCACGGCUAACUACGUG